RNAcentral lists this ribosomal RNA (529 nucleotides) under Limosilactobacillus reuteri. RNAcentral describes it as "bacterial SSU rRNA". It matches the Rfam family "Bacterial small subunit ribosomal RNA", at positions 1 to 495 of the family's 1533-position model. Lineage: Bacteria; Bacillati; Bacillota; Bacilli; Lactobacillales; Lactobacillaceae. The record is from RNAcentral.
UAGAGUUUGAUCCUGGCUCAGGAUGAACGCCGGCGGUGUGCCUAAUACAUGCAAGUCGUACGCACUGGCCCAACUGAUUGAUGGUGCUUGCACCUGAUUGACGAUGGAUCACCAGUGAGUGGCGGACGGGUGAGUAACACGUAGGUAACCUGCCCCGGAGCGGGGGAUAACAUUUGGAAACAGAUGCUAAUACCGCAUAACAACAAAAGCCACAUGGCUUUUGUUUGAAAGAUGGCUUUGGCUAUCACUCUGGGAUGGACCUGCGGUGCAUUAGCUAGUUGGUAAGGUAACGGCUUACCAAGGCGAUGAUGCAUAGCCGAGUUGAGAGACUGAUCGGCCACAAUGGAACUGAGACACGGUCCAUACUCCUACGGGAGGCAGCAGUAGGGAAUCUUCCACAAUGGGCGCAAGCCUGAUGGAGCAACACCGCGUGAGUGAAGAAGGGUUUCGGCUCGUAAAGCUCUGUUGUUGGAGAAGAACGUGCGUGAGAGUAACUGUUCACGCAGUGACGUAUCCACCAGAAUGACCG